UUCUGUUCAUAAACAUUCUUCCACGACGUGCUGUGCUGGAAUCCCUGAGCCUGCUCUGGCCUGGGAGGCUGCCUGAUUUGUCUCUGGUCCAAAACCACACCUGGCCUCGCAUCCUUCUAAUGAUAAUCCCCACAGAGUUCCAGGUGUUCAGCCCAGUGACUGAUUACGAGCCCUGCCGAGUUCAGAGGGACAAGAUGGAGGCUAUAUAUAAAUCCGACAAAGUUUCAAAAGGUUCAACUCAUUCUUGAUCACUGACAAUGGACUUCCUGCAUGCGCUACAAGCAACCCUCCCAGGCUAAUUGGUGACAUCAACCAAAGCCCUGAAAGUGAUUCUGGCAGAAAACGAACAUGUCUCUGCGAAGCAGGUGAAGAGCCCGAGACUUUGGAAUAGACACACUGGCAGCGACGGGGAUGAGACCUCACCAGGGAGGAGGUGCUAAGCCCAACUGCAGGAUGUCUCUGGGUGUCCUCCAGGCACCCCAGCUUUGAAGGCACCCCACCAACCCGGGAUCCACAAACGUUUCCGCCAGAUGUGCAGCCCUUGGAGCAAGUCGUGAAACAACUGCUUUGAAGAUGAAGAGCCCUCGGAGCACGCUAAGUAGCUGUAUUAUUGUCGUGCAGUGUGUGUCACCCUGCGGAGGAUUCAACUCCCAGCACUGUCACCGCUGGGGAAUUAGUGAAAGGCAAACUCAGCCGGAAAUGCCGAGUGCCAAAAAAGAGGAGCGAAUAAAAUGCUGGGGGUGGGAGGAAGGGGACGGGAGGAAGAGGCCUGGCCAUUCAGGACAGUGAAGUCACCGAAGAAAGGUGGCAGCAGGGGAGACUGGGGGUGGACUCUCCAGCCCGUGCCCGCUGGAAGCCCCUCUCCUUUCCCUUCUUAGCACCUGCCGGAUGGAGCGUCUAUGCAGCUAGGACUGUUAUAUGGAGGGUUUUCUCCCGCCGUGGACUCUCUGGAGGCUAUGGACUGUCUGCUUUGCCCAUCAUUCUGUCCCCAACACGUUGUCUGCAUGAAGUGAAGAUUUGAUAACUGCCUGCUAAGGGAGCGAAGGAGUGAGUGGGUGGAUGAGUGGGACGGUAUUCUCACUGCCACAGCUGCUCCCAGCCCUAUUUUAAGGACAGAGAAUAUGCAUAUUUAAAGGACAGAUGCGUGUCUAAUAAUCCCAGCAUGUUGGGAGGCUGAGGCAGGAGGAUUGUUUGAGGCCAGCAGUUUGAGAGCAGCCUGGGAAACAU
RNAcentral lists this long non-coding RNA (1227 nucleotides) under Homo sapiens (human). RNAcentral describes it as "HSALNT0299524". The record is from RNAcentral. Lineage: Eukaryota; Metazoa; Chordata; Mammalia; Primates; Hominidae.